GGGCAGAUAGCUCAGUUGGUAGAGCACAGGACUGAAAAUCCUGGUGUCGUGAGUUCAACUCUCACUCUGCCCA
RNAcentral lists this transfer RNA (73 nucleotides) under Aquisphaera giovannonii. RNAcentral describes it as "Isosphaera-like str. OJF2 tRNA". It matches the Rfam family "tRNA". Rfam says of the family: Transfer RNA (tRNA) molecules are approximately 80 nucleotides in length. Their secondary structure includes four short double-helical elements and three loops (D, anti-codon, and T loops). Further hydrogen bonds mediate the characteristic L-shaped molecular structure. tRNAs have two regions of fundamental functional importance: the anti-codon, which is responsible for specific mRNA codon recognition, and the 3' end, to which the tRNAs corresponding amino acid is attached (by aminoacyl-tRNA synthetases). tRNAs cope with the degeneracy of the genetic code in two manners: having more than one tRNA (with a specific anti-codon) for a particular amino acid; and 'wobble' base-pairing, i.e. permitting non-standard base-pairing at the 3rd anti-codon position. The record is from Rfam by way of RNAcentral. Lineage: Bacteria; Pseudomonadati; Planctomycetota; Planctomycetia; Isosphaerales; Isosphaeraceae. RNAcentral also lists the same sequence under 3 other names.